RNAcentral lists this unclassified non-coding RNA (291 nucleotides) under Bartonella chomelii. Its description in RNAcentral is "partial 16S-23S ribosomal RNA intergenic spacer". The stretch from base 234 to 291 matches the Rfam family "tRNA", at positions 1 to 55 of the family's 71-position model. The record is from RNAcentral. Lineage: Bacteria; Pseudomonadati; Pseudomonadota; Alphaproteobacteria; Hyphomicrobiales; Bartonellaceae.
AGAUGAUGAUCCCAAGCCUUCUGGCGUUCUGUUCAUCAAAUUUCAAAAGCGUUUAAGAAACAGGUAAAAAGCGUUUAAGAAACGUUCGAGUGCAUUUAAGUAAAGCGUUUAAGCAGAUAUAAGGUGGUUAAGAAACAGGUAAAAGGUGUUUAAGAAACAUAUCUGUUUCUUAAACAUAUCUUUUUGUUUUCUUUUGUUUGUCCCGAGGAAGGUUUUUACCGAUUUACUCCUGAGGGCUUGUAGCUCAGUUGGUUAGAGCGCGCGCUUGAUAAGCGUGAGGUCGGAGGUUCA